CCUUAGAUGUUCUGGGCCGCACGCGCGCUACACUGAUCAAGUCAACGAGUUUACAACCUUGGCCGGAAGGUCUGGGUAAUCUUUUGAAACUUGAUCGUGCUGGGGAUAGUCCAUUGCAAUUAUUGGACUUCAACGAGGAAUUCCUAGUAAGCGUGAGUCAUCAGCUCGCGUUGAUUACGUCCCUGCCCUUUGUACACACCGCCCGUCGCUACUACCGAUUGAAUGGCUUAGUGAGGCUUUCGGAUUGGACUUUGGCAGCUGGCAACAGCAGCUAGGGACUAAAAAGUCAUCCAAACUUGGUCAUUUAGAGGAAGUAAAAGUCGUAACAAGGUUUCCGUAGGUGAACCUGCGA
RNAcentral lists this ribosomal RNA (352 nucleotides) under Nectriopsis exigua. RNAcentral describes it as "SSU rRNA". It matches the Rfam family "Eukaryotic small subunit ribosomal RNA", at positions 1471 to 1820 of the family's 1831-position model. The record is from RNAcentral. Lineage: Eukaryota; Fungi; Ascomycota; Sordariomycetes; Hypocreales; Bionectriaceae.